AUUCCAGUUCCAAUAGCGUAUAUUAAUGUUGUUGCAGUUAAAAAGCUCGUAGUUGGAUUUCUGGUCGGGACGUCUGGCCGGCUCCGCAAGGGGUCGUUGCAUUGACUGUACUCGUCCAUCCUCAGGUUGACUAGCUCUGGUAUUUAUUUAUCGGUGUUAGAACGCCUGUCGUUUACUGUGAACAAAUUAGAGUGUUCAAAGCAAGGUGUACUUGAAUACAUUAGCAUGGAAUAAUAAGAUAGGACUUUGGUGGUUCUUUUUGAUAUUUUGUUGGUUUGCACGCCAAAGUAAUGAUUAAUAGGAGCAGUUGGGGGUAUUCGUAUUCAAUUGUCAGAGGUGAAAUUCUUGGAUUUAUAGAAGACGAACUACUGCGAAAGCAUUUACCAAGGAUGUUUUCAUCA
This 401-nucleotide ribosomal RNA is filed under the name Pedinellales sp. RNAcentral describes it as "partial small subunit ribosomal RNA". It matches the Rfam family "Eukaryotic small subunit ribosomal RNA", at positions 582 to 975 of the family's 1831-position model. The record is from RNAcentral. Lineage: Eukaryota; Dictyochophyceae; Pedinellales.